Molecule: ribosomal RNA, 319 nt
Filed under: uncultured Flavobacteriia bacterium
Lineage: Bacteria; Pseudomonadati; Bacteroidota; Flavobacteriia
Description: bacterial SSU rRNA
Rfam family: Bacterial small subunit ribosomal RNA
Source: RNAcentral
GUGCCAGCCGCCGCGGUAAUACGGAGGAUCCAAGCGUUAUCCGGAAUCAUUGGGUUUAAAGGGUCCGUAGGCGGUCAGGUAAGUCAGUGGUGAAAGCCCAUCGCUCAACGGUGGAACGGCCAUUGAUACUGUCUGACUUGAAUUAUUAGGAAGUAACUAGAAUAUGUAGUGUAGCGGUGAAAUGCUUAGAGAUUACAUGGAAUACCAAUUGCGAAGGCAGGUUACUACUAAUGGAUUGACGCUGAUGGACGAAAGCGUGGGUAGCGAACAGGAUUAGAUACCCUGGUAGUCCACGCCGNAAACGAUGGAUACUAGCUGU